UGCCUAAGUAAUGGUCAUCCCUUCCAAUCAAUAUGAUGGCUUCGUCUGAAUGGUAACCCCUGGAGACCCUGCCUUGGUGACCAAGGAGGAGCAUACCAGGAGCAAAUUAUAAGACCUUCCCUGAAGCAUGGAUCAGCUUGGUUCCUGCUUUCUUGAUUCCUUGGUUCCUGUUGACCAUGUGAUAGGGAAAAUCUCUGCUUUCUCUACCACUGAGUUUCUCUGACACUCCAGUGGUGACCAAAACCAGCCCCAAAUCUGAUUCAGUAGCUCAUACAAUGCCAGGUUGGUGAGAUGAGCCCUCCCCUGAGUCAACAGUCUCCCUUCUCUGUUCUCAUGGAGCAAACAGAACGGGAGCCCCCCAAGGACAGAGCAACUCCUGGACCCCACUGGAUCAACAAGCCUCGUUCUUCUGGAUCUCAGAUGCCAUGGUGCAUUCUUUCAAAGGACAGUUAUAGAAACAAGCAGAUCAUUUCCCCAAAAAGGCCCAUUCCCAUGUUUACCGAUGGAAAAGUACGUCACUUAGGGUAAGCUUUCCGGACAUAAGAAUGGUCAGCAGUCUUGAUGAGAACACAUUUUAUUGCAGUGAAUUAAACAUCAUAAAAAUGGAUCAGUUCCAUUGGCAGUUUAAAUGAUUGAGAUUCUUUCCAGAGUAGCUACGAAGGCUGUGGCAGAUAUUACCCCAUUUAAUUCUCUGAGAUUCUUUCCAGGGUAGCUACGAAGGCUUUGGCAGAUAUGACCCCAUUUAAUCCUCACAGCAACCCCAUGAGGAAGUUAAUAUUGCCGCACUGUUUCUCAGAAGUGGAGAAAUUGCCCAGGGACGGGCAGCUGAGGUCCUGCUAUGAUCCUGCUAUGUUACCCAAACUGGUCUUGAACUCCUGGCCUCAAGCCAUUCUUCUGCCUCAGCUUCCCAAAGUGCCAAGAUUACGGGCACGAGCCACUGCACACCCAGCAUGCCACGUGACAUCUGAGGCUAGUUUAUAAGAAUGUUAUGAGCUUCCACCUGGCUUUCAUGGACAGGAUGCUAACUCUUGGAACUCAGCCACCAUGUUGUGAGGAAGUCCAAAUCAUCCCACAUGGAGAGGCCCAUGAAAGUGCUCCAGCUCACAGCACAGCUGAGGUCCUGGCUGACAGCCUGCAUCAUCUGCCAGGCAUGAGUGAAGAUGCUUCCAGAUGAUUCUAGCUCCCGCUCAUCAGAUCACUCUCAACUUGGAUUCUUCCCAGCAGAGGCUCCAGAAAUCAUAGAGCAGAGAUCACCUCUUCCUGCUCUGCUUUGUCCAAGUUAAGGGCUGUAAAAUCUAUGAGCAUGAUAACAUGAUUGUUUUACGCCAGAAAGUUUUGGGGGUGGUUUGUGACAUAGCAACUGGUACAGAAAUUAUUUGCUAACACGCAGGCAUCUCUCUCAAGGGGGAAAGUCUUAUGGUCAUUUUUGCGCCCUUUUCUGGGGCAAAUAUGGUUGGUAGGGAUGAUGCCCACUAUAGCACCAUUGCUUCAUCAGAGGCCGUUUGGAUCAGUGAGCCCUUCCGUGUUCUUUAGUCACAAUAUGUUAAUAUAUUUUACUAGUCCAUUUCCUACUGACUAGAAUAUCAGUUCCCUAUGAUAGGUUCCCCCCCAUUUUGUUUGUUCCUGUAUCCCCAAAACCCAAACUAGUACAGGUGCUCCUCAGCUUAUGAUGCAGUUACCUCCCAAUAAACCCACCAUAAAGUUGAAAAAUCCUAAGUUG
This 1720-nucleotide long non-coding RNA is filed under the name Piliocolobus tephrosceles (Ugandan red Colobus). RNAcentral describes it as "lncRNA (ENSPTEG00000007305.1)". Lineage: Eukaryota; Metazoa; Chordata; Mammalia; Primates; Cercopithecidae. The record is from RNAcentral.